RNA transcript from Hevea brasiliensis (rubber tree), 2060 nucleotides. RefSeq lists it as uncharacterized. The record is from RefSeq and is a predicted model, not a curated record. NCBI's taxonomy places the organism in Eukaryota, Viridiplantae, Streptophyta, Magnoliopsida, Malpighiales, Euphorbiaceae. The transcript is spliced from 3 exons.
CGUAAUUUUGUAGUUAUACCCACAACAAAUUCAGCGCCAUCGUUUCCACGCCCUGAAAUGAAAAUCCAUUUGGUUCCAAUUCGAAGUCACGUUAAAGCUCUGCUUUCCGGUUUUAAAUUCUCAAAUUAUGGCUAACAUUUCUCAACUCCACCGCUACCUUUACCAUGACUCCGCCGUCGACGACUCUCACCAGCGUCAUCACAACUACCGCCGUCCACACCGCCCUCGUAACUUAACUGUCGACCAUCUCUUCUCCUCUUCCUCUUCUGAUCCUCACUCCCCGCACGCCACUCUCCACGACCCCUACCCACUUUCCGAACACACUAAUUUCAAUAUUCGGACCCUGGGCGACGACGACGUCUCGGAUCCUGAAUCAGUUAUCCUCGGAGGCCCAGAUCUCCUGGAUCGUGAGAAUCAGGUUAGUUUCGUGUUGGAUCUGUUUCAACAGCGAGUCGAGCAGUCUCAGGUAAUGGGUCGUAGUUCUCAUUUGGUAUCUGAUGCGCUUAACGAAUCGGACUUUGGUGUUAUAGAGGAGGAUUGUGAAUUGGGUAUGGGUAAUUUGGAGCUCGAUUUAGAGUUAGGCUUUGAUUUAGACGGUCACGAGAGUGGUGCGUUUCAAAAUAUAGGCCAUAAUCAUAGUCACAGUGAUAAUAAUAAUGAUUAUAGCAGAAAUAUCGUUAUCGAUGAUGAUGAUGAUGAUGAUUUCUUCGUGGAGAGAAGGAUUUCCGGAAUUCAAUCUUGUGGGGCCGAGUCCACCGUUAGCUUUCGCACAAGUGCUAUGAGGGUGGCUGGGUUUGGGUCGGAUUCUGAUUCAGAGGAUAAUGAGAACUCGGUAGCUAUAGAUUUGUAUUCAGGGGAUGAGUAUGGAUUGGAUCGAGCGAAUAUUGAAAAUGAUAAUUAUGAUAAUGUUGAUGAAGAUGAUGAGGAAGAUGCAACCGUUACUAUUCCUCUUUGUUGGGAUUCGCUUCAAUUGGAGGACCAUAGAGAAAACAAUGAGGAUUUUGAGUGGGAGGAAGUGGAUGGCCGUGUUGAUGAGAGAGACGUUCUAAGCAUGUUUGUUGAUGAUGAGGAGGCCUCUGUUUCUCUCUCCAUCUCGCCCAUUAUUGCCCCUGAGGAUAUGGUGAGUGUAGAGAGGGUAGGAGGAUUGGGAAAUUUGGAAUGGGAAGUUUUGUUGAACGCAAACAACUUCGACUCAAAUCUGGACCGCAUCCAGGACCAUAAUGCUGAGCUUUAUUUUGGGGACCAUGAUGAUUUUAUUUACACUUCUGAGUAUGAGAUGUUGUUUGGGCAAUUUGCAGAGAAUGAGAAUUCAUCGAUUGGUCGGCCUCCGGCAGCAAAAUCUGUUGUUGAGAAACUUCCAUAUGUGGUUUUGACAAAAGAGGAUGUUGAGAAUAAUAAUUCACUUUGUGCUGUUUGUAAAGAUGAGAUUAAUGUUGGAGAGAGGGCAAAGCAGUUGCCUUGCACACAUAGGUAUCAUGGGGAGUGCAUUGUGCCCUGGCUAGGGAUUAGGAAUACUUGCCCAGUAUGUCGAUAUGAGUUGCCUACAGAUGAUGCAGAUUAUGAGCGGAAGAAAGUAGCAGCAUCACAAGGAGCUGUUACUACUGGCCGUCGCCUUUGAUUGGUCUACCUACUGUCACCUGGAAUUUGGAUUAUGUUGAAUUGGUCGUGGAAGCCUUGUAAUCUUUUUUAUCAUUUACCAGAAAAAAAGGGAAAAUCUAUCUGCAAGUAAAUAAAAGCUUCAAAUUCGCUUUCUAUCGGCGUCAAAAAAGGAGCAUAAAAAAGCAUUAUUUCUCUUUAAGAAAAGGGAAAGCAAGUUAAGUCAUCUUGCACAAGAAAGACUCUGAUGCCAUUUGCUUCUGCCAAUUAUGGCUUCAUUGAUGCCCUUCCAAAUCAAGAAAAUGAGGAUGCUGCAUAACAAAAGCCAACUUCAAACCCAAACUUUUCUUGGCCAUGGCUUGAUAACAGUUGAUGUUGGACAUUUGAUCAAAUGUUUCUGGUUGUGGAGUAAAAUAGGUGUGUUUUUAUAUAUUUGUAAAUUUAAUUGUAAGAUUUUUAUACAA